Ovis aries (sheep) is the source of this 57-nucleotide transfer RNA. It matches the Rfam family "tRNA", at positions 8 to 63 of the family's 71-position model. From Rfam's summary of the family: Transfer RNA (tRNA) molecules are approximately 80 nucleotides in length. Their secondary structure includes four short double-helical elements and three loops (D, anti-codon, and T loops). The record is from Rfam. Lineage: Eukaryota; Metazoa; Chordata; Mammalia; Artiodactyla; Bovidae.
UGGCUCAGAGGUUAAAGCGUCUGCCUGGAAUGUGGGAGACCCAGGUUCGAUCCCUGG